UUUUCAGUGGACAUUGAGACCCCAUUCGAAUAUAUGCUGUGGCGGAUUUUCUUUUCGAUACAGUUUGCCACUCAGAGAUUACAGUGGGAGAAAUCAAGGGUUGCCAAUUCUCCUUUCUAUAAAUAAAUAAUUCCUGCCUUGGGCUCUUAGAAUCGGAUACGCCCUAGGAACACUGCGACUAAUCUGCGCAGAGAAGACAGGAUUCAAAUUAUUAGAAACAGAUCAAUUUGAAAUCUGUAGCACAGAGCCUCCACCAUUAUGUUGGAAUAAACCAUGGCUAGGCCUAGGCUUUCACGUUUUCAAGAUGAUGUUCCCAGCAAAGCUUAUGUCA
This 331-nucleotide small RNA is filed under the name Histoplasma capsulatum. Its description in RNAcentral is "hypothetical RNA". Lineage: Eukaryota; Fungi; Ascomycota; Eurotiomycetes; Onygenales; Ajellomycetaceae. RNAcentral also lists the same sequence under 1 other name. The record is from RNAcentral.